UCCUUACUUCCCUGUAAAUUUACUGUUUGUUUCAAUCUGCAGACUUUCGUCUGCCCUUCUGUCUUCCUUGACAGCGAUUUCUACCGCUUGUUGCCCCGUCCGUUCUGCCUGCAGAGGUAUUUUUGUAAAUCUCAGAUUCAGCUUAUCUCGCUCCACCGUUUAAUGCACCCGUGCUUGCCUUCGUUACAUUGAAGAUUAUGAACGUCGCAUGAAAAUGAGAGAAAUCCCUGUUUAUUCACUGGCUCGGUCAAAUAGCCUGAUAUUUACCCUUGACUUUGUCUAGGUGAACAGAGCACUCCACUCGAGUUUAUGGUUUUCCUAUACUGCAGCAAAUUCUUUAUUUCCCUGGCUUGUUCAUGCUCAUAAAAUUACAUAUACCAGCUACUGAAUCGACUGUUACUCACCAAGCACUGCACAUUUUGCUUCAUCCAUCUAUACAUAUAGAAGAUUCAUCUGCUUAUAUUAACCAUAGAUUGCUUGCUAUCCUGUCGUCUCUGCUUGCUAUUUACCUCGUGCAUGUGCUUUCCUGCCUUCGAUGAAACACCAUUACACCACUGCAUGAUAUUCUCACUUCUCAACUAACAUCCUGUAAAAAUCUCCAGGACAACAUGAACACUGAAAAUCACCAAUAUGUUGCUGAUGCUAAUGGAUUUGAUAGAGUUAUCGAGUCUGAGGUCAACAAGAAAAAUAUAAUGCCAGCAUCUUAUGCGGGCAAACUUUGCUGCAUGGCUGAAAACUUCCACGAUGCUAUCGCUGUUUCACGUGUCCAUGGCUCACCUGAUAUAUUCACAGACUUCACGUAUGAUCCAAACUGGCCUGAGAUAGUUCAGGGUCUUGAGCAUGGACAACAGGCAGUCGAUGAGGCUGAUUUUACUGCUCAAGUGUAUCAACUGAAACUCCUUGAGUACGUGGAAAAAAUUAAGACCGGACAGGUGUUUGGGCCUGUAGUUACUGGUAAUGUAGCCAGUGUCUUCCCUUGGUUUCCUUAACUUUUUCUCUCCAUGCAUCUUAAUUUCCCUGUUCUUCACUUGCCCUCUUGUUUUCCAGUCCUCCACUCCGUGGACUUCCACAAGAGGAGUCUGCCCCAUGCACAUAUCCUUGUUUGGCAGGAAAAAGAUUAUGGGCAGGUCAUAACGCCAACUUCCCUAAAUCCUCUCUUUCAUCUGCUAUUAGUAUUUCUACCAAAUUUAGAUUCUUCUUUCUUUUCCAUGGUUUCUUAUUUCGGAAUUCCUAAUAAUUAAGCUGCCCAUGUCACAGGGAUCUGCGUCCACUAAUGUUGAUGAUGAUGCUCUUGCGAUUGCACAUGCUAACGCCAUGGAGGCUGCACUUCGCUGAUUUGGAUCUAACAACUAAAGCCCUGUCCACAAAGACAAGUGAAAACUGCUUUGCCAUUGCUGUUUUCACACGAUUGGCCAAGUUCCCAAAAUAGCCUGUUACUAUGUUCGCCGCAUGUUUGUAAACCAAGUGUUUGGCAACCUCCAAUCAUACAUUCCCUUAUUUAUGAUCUGAACUAGGCUAUUUUCAUGCUCUAUGAAUAUCGUUAUUAACCCUUUGUUGGUGUGCCCUCUGUACCUCAUGACUAUUUUAAUUUACUAAGAUACCUGCUCUAAAGAAGAAAAU
Molecule: long non-coding RNA, 1620 nt
Filed under: Triticum aestivum (bread wheat)
Lineage: Eukaryota; Viridiplantae; Streptophyta; Magnoliopsida; Poales; Poaceae
Description: long non-coding RNA (TAES_LNC026172)
Source: RNAcentral